RNAcentral lists this transfer RNA (71 nucleotides) under Marmota monax (woodchuck). RNAcentral's name for it is "tRNA.Ala". Lineage: Eukaryota; Metazoa; Chordata; Mammalia; Rodentia; Sciuridae. The record is from RNAcentral.
GGGGUUGUGGCUCAGAGGUGGAGCACUUGCCUAGCAUACAUGAGACACUGGGUUCAAUACUCAGCACCACA